RNAcentral lists this ribosomal RNA (497 nucleotides) under uncultured bacterium. Its description in RNAcentral is "partial 16S ribosomal RNA". It matches the Rfam family "Bacterial small subunit ribosomal RNA", at positions 28 to 507 of the family's 1533-position model. The record is from RNAcentral.
GACGAACGCUUUCUUCUUUCCUAAUACAUGCAAGUAGAACGCUGAAGAGAGGAGCUUGCUCUUCUUGGAUGAGUUGCGAACGGGUGAGUAACGCGUAGGUAACCUGCCUUGUAGCGGGGGAUAACUAUUGGAAACGAUAGCUAAUACCGCAUAACAAUGGAUGACACAUGUCAUUUAUUUGAAAGGGGCAAUUGCUCCACUACAAGAUGGACCUGCGUUGUAUUAGCUAGUAGGUGAGGUAACGGCUCACCUAGGCGACGAUACAUAGCCGACCUGAGAGGGUGAUCGGCCACACUGGGACUGAGACACGGCCCAGACUCCUACGGGAGGCAGCAGUAGGGAAUCUUCGGCAAUGGGGGCAACCCUGACCGAGCAACGCCGAGUGAGUGAAGAAGGUUUUCGGAUCGUAAAGCUCUGUUGUAAGUCAAGAACGAGUGUGAGAGUGGAAAGUUCACACUGUGACGGUAGCUUACCAGAAAGGGACGGCUAACUACGUG